GAAAUGCGAUAAGUAAUGUGAAUUGCAGAAUUCAGUGAAUCAUCGAAUCAUUGAACGCACAUUGCGCCCGCCAGUAUUCUGGCGGGCAUGCCUGUUCGAGCGUCAUUACAACCCUCAGGCCCCCGGGCCUGGCGUUGGGGAUCGGCGGAAGCCCCCUGCGGGCACAACGCCGUCCCCCAAAUACAGUGGCGGUCCCGCCGCAGCUUCCAUUGCGUAGUAGCUAACACCUCGCAACUGGAGAGCGGCGCGGCCACGCCGUAAAACACCCAACUUCUGAAUGUUGACCUCGAAUCAGGUAGGAAUACCCGCUGAACUUAAGC
Molecule: unclassified non-coding RNA, 320 nt
Filed under: plant metagenome
Description: partial contains 5.8S ribosomal RNA, internal transcribed spacer 2, and large subunit ribosomal RNA
Rfam family: 5.8S ribosomal RNA (bases 1-105)
Source: RNAcentral